AGCAGCCGCGGUAAUUCCAGCUCCAAUAGCGUAUAUUAAAGUUGUUGCAGUUAAAAAGCUCGUAGUUGAAUUUCGGGUUUUAUCCGCUGGUCGGGCUUUCGGGUCUGUACUGGCGUGAUGGAUUCCUACCUUCUGAAUAACCAGCAUGUCAUUAAUUUGGUGCGCUGGGGAAGCAGGACUGUUACCUUGAAAAAAUUAGAGUGCUUAAAGCAGGCUAUUGCCUGAAUACAUUAGCAUGGAAUAAUGAAAUAGGACGCAUGGUUCUAUUUUGUUGGUUUCUAGGAUCACCGUAAUGAUUAAUAGGGAUAGUUGGGGGCAUUAGUAUUCAAUUGUCAGAGGUGAAAUUCUUGGAUUUAUUGAAGACUAACUUCUGCGAAAGCAUUUGCCAAGGAUGUUUUCAUUAAUCAAGAACGAAAGUUAGGGGAUCGAAGACGAUCAGAUACCGUCGUAGUCUUAACCAUAAACUAUGCCGACUAGGGAUCGGACGAUGUUAAUUUUUUAAUGACUCGUUCGGCGCCUUACG
RNAcentral lists this ribosomal RNA (523 nucleotides) under uncultured Acaulospora. Its description in RNAcentral is "SSU rRNA". It matches the Rfam family "Eukaryotic small subunit ribosomal RNA", at positions 569 to 1092 of the family's 1831-position model. Lineage: Eukaryota; Fungi; Glomeromycota; Glomeromycetes; Diversisporales; Acaulosporaceae. The record is from RNAcentral.